UGGCUGAGCGGUGAAGCGCUUGGUUUCUGAACCGGGGGUCCCGGGUUCGAAUCCCGG
Non-coding RNA from Biomphalaria glabrata, 57 nucleotides. Lineage: Eukaryota; Metazoa; Mollusca; Gastropoda; Planorbidae. The record is from Rfam.